This 356-nucleotide ribosomal RNA is filed under the name Metriocnemus sp. JMA-2000. RNAcentral describes it as "partial 12S ribosomal RNA". Lineage: Eukaryota; Metazoa; Arthropoda; Insecta; Diptera; Chironomidae. The record is from RNAcentral.
UUUAAUAAUAAAAAUAUUAUACUAAAGCAUUAAAUGAUUUAUUCAUAAAACUUAAAAAAUUUGGCGGUAUUUUAGUCUUAUCAGAGGAAUUUGUUUAUUAAACGAUAAUCCACGAUUUACCUUACUUAAAUUUUAUAAUUUGUAUAUCAUUGUCAUUAGAAUAUAUUAUUAGAUAAAUAAUUUUCAAAAUUUUAGAUUUUUAAAAAGAAUGUCAAAUCAAGGUGCAGUUUAUAUUUAAGUUAAAAAUGAAUUACAAUAAAAAUUAUUUAUGGAUAUAUAAUUAAAAUUAUUUUUAAAAUUGGAUUUGAAAGUAAAUAAAGAAAGAAAAAUUUAUUGAUUUUAGCUCUAAAAUAUGC